RNAcentral lists this transfer RNA (80 nucleotides) under Toxocara canis (dog roundworm). It matches the Rfam family "tRNA". Rfam says of the family: Transfer RNA (tRNA) molecules are approximately 80 nucleotides in length. Lineage: Eukaryota; Metazoa; Nematoda; Chromadorea; Rhabditida; Toxocaridae. The record is from Rfam by way of RNAcentral.
GAUCAGGUGGCCGAGUGGUUAAGGCGAUGGACUGCUAAUCCAUUGGAUUCCCCGCGUGAGUUCGAAUAUCAUCCUGAUCG